RNAcentral lists this ribosomal RNA (512 nucleotides) under uncultured Glomeromycotina. RNAcentral's name for it is "partial small subunit ribosomal RNA". It matches the Rfam family "Eukaryotic small subunit ribosomal RNA", at positions 591 to 1092 of the family's 1831-position model. The record is from RNAcentral. Lineage: Eukaryota; Fungi; Glomeromycota.
CCAAUAGCGUAUAUUAAGGUUGCUGCGGUUAAAAAGCUCGUAGUUGAAUUUCGGGAUUGAUGCAUCGGUCGUGCCUUAAGGGGUAUGAACUGGUGUGGUCGAUUUCUUACCUUCUGGUGAAUUGUGAUGUCCUCCUUAAUUGGGUGUUUCAAUGAACUAGGACUUUUUACUUUGAAAAAAUUAGAGUGUUUAAAGCAGGCAAUAUUUGCUCGAAUACAUUAGCAUGGAAUAAUAGAAUAGGACGGCAUGGUUCUAUUUUGUUGGUUUCUAGGAUCACCGUAAUGAUUAAUAGGGAUAGUUGGGGGCAUUAGUAUUCAAUUGUCAGAGGUGAAAUUCUUGGAUUUAUUGAAGACUAACUACUGCGAAAGCAUUUGCCAAGGAUGUUUUCAUUAAUCAAGAACGAAAGUUAGGGGAUCGAAGACGAUCAGAUACCGUCGUAGUCUUAACCAUAAACUAUGCCGACUAGGAAUCAGACGAUGUUAAUUUUUUAAUGACUCGUUUGGCACCUUACG